Molecule: RNase P RNA, 331 nt
Filed under: Comamonas antarctica
Lineage: Bacteria; Pseudomonadati; Pseudomonadota; Betaproteobacteria; Burkholderiales; Comamonadaceae
Description: Bacterial RNase P class A
Rfam family: Bacterial RNase P class A
About the family: Ribonuclease P (RNase P) is a ubiquitous endoribonuclease, found in archaea, bacteria and eukarya as well as chloroplasts and mitochondria. Its best characterised activity is the generation of mature 5'-ends of tRNAs by cleaving the 5'-leader elements of precursor-tRNAs.
Source: Rfam by way of RNAcentral
GAAGUCCACCAGACCGCCGCUGGUGCUGGCGCCGAAAGGCCGCACUGGAGGAACGUCCGGACUGCAUAGGGCAGCGUAGCAGCUAACGGCUGUCCACCGCGAGGUGAGGAUCAGAGCAACAGAGACGAGCCGCUUGAGUGCGGGUGAAACGGGCAAUCUCUACGCGCAGCAAUACCAAGUAGGCACACGUUGACGGGGCCCCCGGAGUGUGCGGGUAGGUAGCAUCGAGCUGGUUGGGCGACCACCAGCCAAGAGUAAUGGCGGUCACGCCGCCGAUUCUCGCAAGGGAAUCGGCGGUGCACAGAAUCCGGCUUAUCGGUGGGCUUCACAC